Molecule: ribosomal RNA, 744 nt
Filed under: uncultured bacterium
Lineage: Bacteria
Description: bacterial SSU rRNA
Rfam family: Bacterial small subunit ribosomal RNA
Source: RNAcentral
AGAGUUUGAUCCUGGCUCAGAGCGAACGCUGGCGGCAGGCCUAACACAUGCAAGUCGAGCGGGCGUAGCAAUACGUCAGCGGCAGACGGGUGAGUAACACGUGGGAACGUGCCCUUCGGUUCGGAAUAGCUCCGGGAAACUGGGAUUAAUACCGGAUACGCCCUUACGGGGAAAGAUUUAUCGCCGAAGGAUCGGCCCGCGUCUGAUUAGCUAGUUGGUGGGGUAAUGGCCCACCAAGGCUACGAUCAGUAGCUGGUCUGAGAGGAUGAUCAGCCACAUUGGGACUGAGACACGGCCCAAACUCCUACGGGAGGCAGCAGUGGGGAAUAUUGGACAAUGGGCGAAAGCCUGAUCCAGCCAUGCCGCGUGAGUGAUGAAGGCCUUAGGGUUGUAAAGCUCUUUCGUCAGGGAAGAUAAUGACGGUACCUGAAGAAGAAGCCCCGGCUAACUUCGUGCCAGCAGCCGCGGUAAUACGAAGGGGGCUAGCGUUGCUCGGAAUCACUGGGCGUAAAGCGCACGUAGGCGGGUCUUUAAGUCGGGGGUGAAAUCCUGGAGCUCAACUCCAGAACUGCCUUCGAUACUGAGGAUCUUGAGUCCGGGAGAGGUGAGUGGAACUCCGAGUGUAGAGGUGAAAUUCGUAGAUAUUCGGAAGAACACCAGUGGCGAAGGCGGCUCACUGGCCCGGUACUGACGCUGAGGUGCGAAAGCGUGGGGAGCAAACAGGAUUAGAUACCCUAGUAGUCC